UGUGUGUGUCCAUAAACAAACAAGCAAAAUAACAUUUCAACAAACUGACACAAAUAUAUUGCCAUCACCACAAGCAGGAGCAAGAAUAAGAUGGAAAUUUGACAAACACUCUGGGUCCUUCCGCAGUGGAUGGAGAUGUCAUGGGCCUUCCUCUUUAACAGGAGCAUUGGAAGUUUGUUCUACUCCAUGCACAGAAUCAGAUGGCUUGACAGUAAUCAUGGGAAAUUUGUUCUGAUCGUAUUAAAUGUGAUUAGUUAUUAAGAGAAUAAGCCAGGGUUAUUAAUAUUCAUAUUUCCAUUCUAAUUAUAGAAAGAUAAUUCAACUUAACUAUUAUGAGUCAGACCAAGUCUUUGUGAAUCAAGUAAAAAACAAACAAACAAACAAACAAAAAAAUAUUUUGAAUGUUUUCCAUCCAGUUCUGUGACUAGUAUCAUGUUUAAGGCUGAUAUAUUAACCUUCUCUGUUUGCAGACAGCUAUCUAAUUUUCUAAAUUAAUUUUUAUUUUUGUCGAGUGACUAGAUUCAGAUAUUAAAAUUACAGCCAUGUCGUGCUUUUAGUCUCUUUCUACAACCUGUUUGCCUGCCUUUUAAUGCAAAACGCGAAGUUACGGUCCCCAGUAAUUAUUUUUGCCAAAUAUGAGCAUAUUAUGCCCUCUGGUGGUUACUUGGGGUAGUGUAGGGUCUCUUGAAUUGAUGUGAUUUUCUUACUGAAAUCCCUAAUCCUUUAUGAAAUUAGUACUGGCUCUCUUAAUAAAUGAAAAUCCAUACAUAAAUGUUCUUUCAAGCAGAGUAAUUUUAAUGCAGUUUCAACCAACAAAAUUUGAAAUAAAAAAAUUAUGCUCUCUCUCAGUGACCUAAUGCAGUAGGCUAAAACAUGCAAAGUAAUUGGCUUGAUCAGAGUAACUCUCAAGAAAAAAACAAUAAAAUAAAUUUUAAGCUGUAACAUUUUAGAGAAAUAUAAGCUGCGAGAUAAGCCUCUACAAGACACAGUUGGAAAAGGAGCUAAAGUAAGAAAGUUGUAAAGUUAGAAGUUGUACUCAAGUCUUUUUCAUAGCGCUUGCUUUUGUAGUUGAGUCUGGGUAAAUCAGGAAGCCAGAGAAGGUGCUAUCGUCCUCGCUGCUGGAGUAAAUCCCAUUCCAGUCUCUCAGGGUCUCCAGCCACACCUGAUCUCCCUCGCUGAGCUGCAUCAGGACAAGGUUGGAAGCCUGGUCGAUGUCCUGGCCGUAAAGGGAGUCUCGUGUCCUCACUUUCCGCACCCCAUUAACCACCAAGGCAACCCGCAGGGGCCGGUUGCGCACAGUGAUGUGAUAAGUGAGCAGUCCGGGUGGAGGAAAGGACCGACUUGGGAACAAACCCACACUGAAAGCAGAACGAACCGGCUCCAAACUCUCACCUGGAUCGCCUUUUGGGCCCCGAGGGCCCCGUGCACCUUUAACUCCCCUCUCCCCCCUCAUUCCUGCUACUCCCCUUGCACCUGGAGGCCCUCUUGCGCCAGUGUCUCCCUUCUCUCCUGCUGGCCCCAUUUCGCCUUUUGAACCAUCACUGCUACUUGGUCCUUGAGGACCCAUCUCACCUUUUGGACCAGGAGGCCCAGGAUCACCAAGAUCACCUUUCUGUCCUCUCUCACCAAGUAGACAUUCUCCCAAACGUCCCUGUUCACCUUUCUGACCCUUUGUCCCAGCUGUCCCUGGAGGACCCAUAGGUCCAAUGGUGCCCAUAGUUCCAUUGUGACCAGGCUCUCCUUUUUCUCCUGCGUCUCCUUUCAGCCCAUUGAUCCCAUUUUCACCUUUCUCUCCUUUGAGACCCAACUCACCUACAGCAUGUGAAGAGUUUAUGUAAAAAAAAAAAAAAAAAAAGGAGAGAAAUUAUAAAAGGUUUUGAAUCAUGAGAUGCAGUUUAACCAUUUACAGGUAUGUUUGUCCAUUUUCAUUUUAAAUAUUGUGGCAUAAAAGUAGGGAACACAUCAAUGUUUUUCUCCAAAAUGUAUCUUUAAUGUUGCUACUAACAUGAAAUUCACACCAUGUCGACAAGAACCCGAACUAUCUACAUAUACAAAUGGUUCAGAAACCUUCACUGUAUAAAUGAUGUGUAAUUUAAAGUGCCCAAUUAACCUGGCAGUCAUGUUUUUGGACUAUGGGAGGAAGCCACAGGACCUGGAGAGAAACAUGCACAACUACCUCCAAGAUUAUGAUCCAAAACAUAGAGGAAGCAAAGGAGAAAAAAGCAAAUAAGUAAACUAAAAUUCAGUCAGUCAUCCGACUUAAACCCAUUUUUUUUUUUUUUUAAUAUUAAAAAAUCAAUGGAAAUACGUGAAAAUCAGAGAGCAUAGAUGCCUUAGUAAUCUCCUUAGGAUCUCCAGACAGUUUGUGUGAAAGAUUGGAUCACAUUUACAACUGAGUAGUCAGUCCUGUAAACAAAGGUUAUUCUAAUCUUCUAAUAUAACAUAGUACCAAAUAUGUGAAGUGGAAGAAUAAUGAUGCCAGGCUUUCCUAAUCGCCUAUUAAAGUUCAGUAAUCAUGUUUAA
Molecule: long non-coding RNA, 2523 nt
Organism: Gambusia affinis (western mosquitofish)
Lineage: Eukaryota; Metazoa; Chordata; Actinopteri; Cyprinodontiformes; Poeciliidae
Exons: 3
Source: RefSeq, a predicted model, not a curated record